Molecule: ribosomal RNA, 406 nt
Filed under: uncultured bacterium
Lineage: Bacteria
Description: partial 16S ribosomal RNA
Rfam family: Bacterial small subunit ribosomal RNA
Source: RNAcentral
AUUGAACGCUGGCGGCAGGCUUAACACAUGCAAGUCGAGCGAGCGGCGGACGGGUGAGUAAUGUCUGGGAAACUGCCUGAUGGAGGGGGAUAACUACUGGAAACGGUAGCUAAUACCGCAUACCAUCAGAUGUGCCCAGAUGGGAUUAGCUAGUAGGUGGGGUAAUGGCUCACCUAGGCGACGAUCCCUAGCUGGUCUGAGGGGAUGACCAGCCACCCUGGAACGGAGACACGGUCCAAACUCCUACGGGAGGAAGCGAUGGGGAAUAUUGGAAAAUGGGCGGAAGCCUGAUGCAGCCAUGCCGCGUGUGUGAAGAAGGCCUUCGGGUUGUAAAGCACUUUCAGCGAGGAGGCGUUACUCGCAGAAGAAGCACCGGCUAACUCCGUGCCAGCCGCCGCGGUAAUUC